CCUAAUGAAGAUGUCUUUACAUCAGCCUUGGCGCCACUGGCUUUUCUGGGCUUUAUGUCUACUUGUAGCUUUUAAUGCGACCGUGUCAUUGCUUUUGUUUUUUGUGUAUUAGCCCUGUGAGCAUUUACAAGUUAGAAAAAUGCCCCCAGUCCAUUUCCCCAAAUUGUCACAUGUAGCAAAGAGUCCAUCAGAAAUAAUUAGUUUGUUACGUGCUGUCAAAACGAGCAAUGCAAAUCAAAGUCCAGCAUCUUGUUAUGUGAUAAUUUAUCGAUCCAGUCAGAGAAGAUAACAUCUAAUUUACUAAUGAAGGGUUAUUGAACAGUGCACCUUAGAGGAAAGCAAAGACAGAGAAGAGCUCUGCUCAGCCAGCUGGAUGACUUUUUUUCUAUGCCGUCGAAGCUGCUUGCUAAUAGAAAUUGUUUUUUUCCCUCACAUACCGGAAUGAUAUUCAUCACAGUGCUUUCAGUGAGAUGACACAGUAAUGCAUUUUGGACAGGCCAAUUUCCCCGGAAGCUUAGCAAGUAUAAAAUGUUCUUUUAUUUUUUUGUUUUCUUUUGUUUAAAAUUUAAUGUAAGGUGUUUUUACUGUCUCUACUGACUAUUUUUUUUCUGAGGUCAAAUUGUGAUAAGAACAUUAAUGCUGUACAUGUUAAGAAGACUAGUACUUUAUUGCUAAUUGUGCAAAUAACAGUCCAGUAUUGAGAACUGAGCUUAAAUCUUGUUCUCAGAGGCAGUGUCACUUCAAGAUGAUGUGUCUUCCAUAGUAUCAGACAUACUGGUAGACUGAUUGAAUUUUCUGGCAUUUUAUUUGAAAUUGUAAGUGUAUACUUUCAUAACGAUGAAUCUUAAGAAGCAAUUUAUUGCUUCUGAGAUCAGUCAAGCAGUGUUUUGUACCUGUAAUGUGUUUUGUUUUUUGUUUUUUAUUUUAUUUGGAGAGAUUAUGAGACAUCUUCAAUGACUACAGUGUUCUGUUUGUUGGUGCCAGCUUUACAAUGUUAUUCUGAAGGUCAAAUCCAAGUGAAAUCAGGACAGACUAGUGUAUAAAGCACUGACUCGUGGAACAGUCUGUGAUUUUAAAUCAAUUUUUGUUUUAUAUGAUGGGAAUAAGGCCAUGAGCCAGCACUCUCAGUAGGAGUCUUAGUGUUGGUGUUAAUAAGAAAGGCUGUUGACAUCAGUAAGCUCAAGAUGAAGUAUACAACAGGUGGAGCUAACUGGGUUUAUAAAGUCCAGUUUUGCUGGUAAUUGUUUCCAACGUGGGCAAGAGACAAGAGUAAUAUUUUUAGUUACGUGAUGUCCAUUUUCUUAACAGAAGAAGCUUUUGCUUUUGCCUAGUACAAUGGAAAAUCUCUGAAAAAGGUGGUCUUAGAAAAUAUCUAUUAUGAAUGGAAAUGUAUAAUUUCUGUUUUCAUUGGGAAAUGUUCUAAGGCCACUUACAAUUUGAAUUCUGUCAUUCUGCAGUGAAAACCAUAUUAGUGAUUGUAAAACAUUCAAGACAGUACAUUUAGAAAAAGACUGAUUUAGCAUCACUUGUUUGGAAAGAUUGCCAGGAAAAACCUCUCUAAAAGAAUAUUCAAUUAAUUUAAUUCGAUUCAGUUCAGUUCAGUGCCAAAUCACAACAACAGUUGCCUCAAGGUGCUUUAUAGUGCAAGGUAGGGACCUUUCAAU
Molecule: long non-coding RNA, 1664 nt
Organism: Astatotilapia calliptera (eastern happy)
Lineage: Eukaryota; Metazoa; Chordata; Actinopteri; Cichliformes; Cichlidae
Source: Ensembl